RNAcentral lists this ribosomal RNA (468 nucleotides) under uncultured bacterium. RNAcentral describes it as "partial 16S ribosomal RNA". It matches the Rfam family "Bacterial small subunit ribosomal RNA", at positions 28 to 507 of the family's 1533-position model. The record is from RNAcentral.
GACGAACGCUGGCGGCGUGCUUAACACAUGCAAGUCGAACGAAAAGGCGCGGCGUUUGUGGGGUGGUCGAGUGGCGAACGGGGGAGUAACACGUGAGGAACCUGCCCUUGACUGUGGGAGAACUUCAGGAAACUGGGGCGAAUACCCGAUAGGAGCUCCUGCUCCGUGUUGUGGGUUGGAAAGUGUCGGCGGUGGGAGAUGGACUCGAGGGUUAUCAGCUGGUUGGUGGAGUAGUGGCGUACGAAGGCUUUGACGGGUAGGCGGCCUGAGAGCGUGACCGGCGACAUUGGGACUGCGGUACGCACCAGACUCGUACGGGACGCAGCAGUGGGGAACCUUGCACAAUGGCGGGACGUCUGAUGCAGCAACGCCGCGUGCGGGAUGCCCGCCUUCGGGUUGUGAACAGCUUUCGCCUGUGCCGAAGCCUUAGUGACGGUACUGGGUCAAGAAGCCACGGCUAACUACGUG